GACGAACGCUGGCGGCGUGCUUAACACAUGCAAGUCGAGCGGUAAGGCCCUUUCGGGGUACGACGAGCGGCGAACGGGUGAAUAACACGUGGGUGACCUGCCCUCCAGCUCUGGGAGUAAGCCUGGGAAACCGGGUACUAAUACUGGAUAUGACUCCAUGACGCAUGUUGUGGGGUGGAAAGCCUUGUGCGGCUGAGGAUGGGCCCGCGGCCUAUCAGCUUGUUGGUGGGGUGAGGCCUACCAAGGCGACGACGGGUAGCCGGCCUGAGAGGGCGACCGGCCACACUGGGACUGAGACACGGCCCAGACUCCUACGGGAGGCAGCAGUGGGGAAUCUUGCGCAAUGGGCGAAAGCCUGACGCAGCGACG
This 369-nucleotide ribosomal RNA is filed under the name uncultured bacterium. Its description in RNAcentral is "bacterial SSU rRNA". It matches the Rfam family "Bacterial small subunit ribosomal RNA", at positions 28 to 396 of the family's 1533-position model. The record is from RNAcentral.